RNAcentral lists this unclassified non-coding RNA (7137 nucleotides) under Leishmania donovani. Its description in RNAcentral is "gene:LdHU3.08.0490(CDS-product:hypothetical_prote in_conserved)". The record is from RNAcentral. Lineage: Eukaryota; Euglenozoa; Kinetoplastea; Trypanosomatida; Trypanosomatidae.
CUCGUACGCACACCUUGAUUACAGAGCAGGAGGCGCUGUACCGACAUCACACCAGCUCCGCGACGCCGGCACGGUACGUUGUACCUCUAAACACAUACAUAGCUAACUAGGCGCUUGCAUACGCGUGCAGCGGAUCGUACGGUGGAGUACGCGUGCCUGUGUGCGCACCUUCGCUUGAUUAUUGUUUUUGCCUUGCUGUUUGCUUGCUCCCGCCACGUGGGCCUCUGCAUACGAGGGAGGGGGAGGUGACGCACGCGCCCGCGGACUACGUCAGCACCGCUAACCUCAUCUCGUCCGUUCCUAACCCGCUUGUCGCCUUCCCUGUUGUGUAAUCCGGUGACGAGAGUCAUGUACAACUUCCAUAAGCGGGCGGACGCCCCCACAAGAGUCGAGGGCGAUGCCGGCGCGCAUGGAGCAAACGAUGGUCGCGACGAUGAACGGUCAUCGGCGGGGCCGCAAGCGAUGGCUGAAGAUGACGGCCAUGAUGCGCAGAGGCAAGGGCGCGCCUACGGGCACAGCGCCGAGUCUCGUGUUGGCGACUACGCGGAUGGGCUUGGUGCCCCUGUGGCGGGUAGUGGGGAGGGAUACGGUGACUACGGCCAGGAGGAUCCGGGCGGCUACGACAUGACGUCGUACCCCGCUCAGGGAAGCGACAAUCAGCAGCAGCAGCAGCAGCAGGCGUACAUGCAGCCCCAAGUGUACGGCCAAGGCGCCGAGGCCCGGGGAGAAGGGGAAGACGAUGCGCCCAUGUUUGCCGACUACCGCGGCCCCAUAGAUGGCGAGCGGGCGGAGCGCUACAACCGCCGUCUGCAGCAGCAGAAACAGUACGACGACAUCCCCAUGCCGCCAGACGACGCGGAUCCGCAAGAGGUGUUUACCUACUACCGCAAGCUCAUUGGGCUCGUGCACUUCGUGCCACCGCGGCACUGGCGCGAGAUCCGCUUCGACCUGCCGGCGAACGUCGCGGAGCUGCGCCUCUACCCACAGCGCCGCGAGCGCGUGCAGGAUCGUGAGCCGAUCAGGCCUACCUCGUGUAUCGCUAUUUCGCUGAAGGGCAUGCUGCCGGAGAACACGACGCCAUCCGAGUACGCGGCGCAGAUGGUGCAGUACAUGUUCGACCUACUGAACUACCAAAACGCCUCCACAGCCAUCACGGAGCUGCGCUUCGUGAAGAAAGGAACAGAGCUGUUGCAGAUGGUGGUGACGCUCGGCAAGGACAUACGGCUGGCGGGACGGGUUCUGACAGAACUGCAGGCCGCGGGCCUCCGCGCGUACUACGGCAAGCCGGUCUUCGAGUUUCCGCCGAACGCAACCUUUCAGGUGGUCGACUACCGUCGCACCCUGCACGACGGCAAGGGCAUCUCGGCUGAAGACGUCACAUUCCUGCUGGAGCCGAUUCGGCAGUACAACACCGUCGACAUCAACGUCAUCGAGGGCUACGAGCCCGGCGUCUUCUAUGCGCCGGUGAAGCGGCCCGAAACGGUGUACUCGUUCCUGUGGAACUACUUCUGUUCCUACAAGUUCCAGUCUGACCUGUUCCGCCGCUACGGCGUGCUGGUGACCAUGGCGCAGUGCCCGCACGAGUUCCUGCAGAAGGGCAUCCCGUAUCACAUCCAGAAGCAGCAGCUGGAGGAGAAAAUACGAGCAGAGCUGCAGCGCAAAGGCAUGGAGAAGCGCGAGUACGAUGGCAGCGGCGGUGGUGUCGGCGCUGGCGGCGUCGACGACGACGACGACUCUGACGAUGGCAUGAACGGCGGCGCCGACGAGGCGACCGGCGAAGGCCCACCGCCCGCGUGGGCCGCAAACGCCGCGGACGAGAUCGACAUCUUCGGGUCGAGCACCCCUGCCAGCCGCGUGCAGAAGAAGCAGCAGCAGCAGCAGCCCACCUCGGCGGCAGCGUCCGACCCGUUCGGGUAUGGUUCCGGCAGCAGCAGAGCUGCCGCCACAGCCGCGGCAGCAGCGACGGCAAACACUGUCGCAACGGCCAUCACCUUCGUCGACGAAGACGGUCUCGAGGAUGUGGAUGCACUGCUCCAGCAGUACAACGCCGUCACGGAGCCGCCACCGUCCGCAGGAAAGAAGAAAGAGGCUGCAGCGAAGGGGCGCAAGGGCAAGGAAACGACAUCGGCGGCAUCGGCAGCGGCUGUGGACGGGGGGCUGUCGGUGAGGAUGGUGUCGCACCGUCGGACACCGGCCCCCAAGGUGGCGCAUGCAUCCUGCCUCCGCCGCCGGUGGAGGGGGCUGGCUGGGGUGGUGGUCACGGCAGCUACGGUGGUGACCCUUAUGGUUCUCUGCCUGGGUAUGCACCUGAGCAGGGCGCGCACGGGUAUCCGCCGCCGCCACAGUACUACCCGUCUUCCGGCCCCUACGGCGGAGCUGGCCGUGGCGCGCCGCCAGAGUCGUACUACGACGGGUACCAGGGCGUUGCUCCCUUGCCACGCGCCGCCCCGUACCCGAGCGUUGCGCAGCGGUCCUCUUCGUCGUACGCCGCGCCACCAUAUGCGUACAGAGACCGAAGUGCCAUCGGCACAGCCGCCGACGCGCUGCCCGUCACCGCCGCCGGCGGCAGCGGCGCUGCGUCGGCGUACCCGCUGCUCGUGGACGAGGCAGAUGAUGAGCAAGACGUGAUCCAGCAUCCGCUGCCGCAGGAACAGCAGCAGCAGCAGCAGUCGUCGGCUUUGUGGUCGGGCGAUGGCAGCGGCGGUGGCUAUGGCAACUUGGACGGACAGCAGCCGCAGCAACUGCCGUCGUCCUCUCAGGCCAUCGCGCCAGCCCCUCACGAGAAAGAUAUGCUUCUCUCGUGGUCUAUGGAUGAGGGGCUGGCGCACAGCUCGGGGCCUGGCUACGCGGCGACCGGGGUCUUCUCUCCACUACCGCCUCAUCGCAUUCAGCAGGGUCACGUCAACGCCUUCCUGCCGGAAGGCGAGGAGGUCGGCGGCAUGCAGGGCUACGGCAGCAACUGGUCAGCCUUCAGCGACUCGCAGCAGCAGCAGCAGCUCAACGCCUACGAAGCUGGUGCUGCUGUCGGAGGCGUUCUUGGGGACUACGACCCGACUUUACCCUCGUACUACGCAGGCGGCGACGGUAGCAGCUAUCCGCCGCCAUCCCCACAAGCAGCGGCGCCGUGGAGCCACGCCGACAGCAACAGCGGAGCACCGCUGAGGUAUGGCGAGCCGAUGCCGAUGCCGGUGCCGAUGCCCAUGCCCAUGCCGCCGCACGUGCGCGAAGCAGCAGAGAUCGCGGCAGACUUAGAGGAGCGCAUCCAGGCUGCCUUUCCCGCCACGUGGGCCACCGCGUCGGCCGCCUCGGCGCAGCCGUUCCUGUUAGACGGCGAGGUGCUCGAGGGUCAGGACCUGCAGAGCACCUCGGAGGAGUCGAACUGCGUGCUGGAGCACAUCCCGGACGCAGCCGCGGCCGCCGUUGCGGAUCUUCCCGCCCCAACGACAGAGAUCGAGGAGCUGCUCAGUUUUCUGCAGCGCAACGUCAGCCUUGUUGGUCGCCUGCUCCAUAAGACCACCACGACGACCGUCGAGCAGGCGGCCGAGGUCGCCGUUUUCCGCGCCCGCGUUGCACGCGCGUUGCUGAUUGGCGCCACAAUGACUGUUGAAGAGUCGGGGUCGCCGGCGUCCCCAGAGGCGAUCCGCGCUGCGUGGGAGCGGCGUGCCGCUGACGGCGGCGAGGUGCCCGCCUCGCCUGCUGCGGCGAACGACGGCGAGGCAGGGGAGCCUGCGGAAGGGGAGGCGGCCCCUGCCGAGACGCAGUUGCCAGCCUUGCUCCCUUACCUGUUGCGCACCUCCGCGGGCGUCGACCUCGCGAUGCUGCUAGCCUUUCACUACCCCCGCGCCUUCUCACGGCGUUUUCUGCCGUAUGCCCCAGCGUACCUCUUCGACGAAAAUGUCGUUCGAGUCGUGGUUGCAACAGCGCUGCGGCGUGACGCGCAGGCAGCCAACGUCCUCGUCCGACACGUACUGGCGCACUGGUGUCCGUUGACGCAGUGGCUGCUGCGCGUCGCUCACCACAAAGCAGCGGAGAAGCGCAAUGGCGGCGAGGCGAGUGCAGCCGUAGUGGCUGCGGGCGAAAGUGGCAGCACAACGGCCGCCAUGAAGCAUCUCGUGUCGUCCAUCGGGAGCUCGAUGGACACCGUUCUCGCCGCGCUCUCCCCGGCGCAGCGCGAGUUCUGCCGUGCCAGCAACGAUGCGUGCAAUUACGUGGACGCGUUUGCUGAAGCGAUGCACGCAACUGGCGUCCAUGACCCGGCGGAGGAUAGUGGUGCGCUCCCCCUGCUCUGGGGUCCCGAUGGGGCGCUCUAUCGAUCUCUGGUGCGUCUCUACGUGAACGCGGACGUGUGCGACGGCGCGAAGGUGGCGCUGCGGAUGCUGUGCUGUGGCCGGUUCUCCUCGUCGGCGACGUCGACCUCUCUCGCCAGCGCCGAGGUGUGCCUGACGCGGGAUCACUACUACUACUGCAUCGUGUUGCUUUCCCGGUCGCAUACAGCCCCGGUGCUGAGUCGUGAGACGGCCGCCUUCUGUGGUGCAUUCCUGAAGCUGUUGGAGCUGCAGCACACGCGCUGGCAGCAGCAGCAGCAGCGCCCGGCAACCGAGGGCGGCGGCAACGCGACAAGGGCGCCCUCGGUCGGAGAGAAGGAAGCAGAGCAGCUCUUAGAUACUGCCUUCAAAGCCAUGCAGACGAUCGACGUCUACACCACCUUGCGUGACGCGUACUUGGCCGUCGAGGUCCCCAUCACCCGCUUCGAGUCCGUGCUUGCCCGCCUCAGCCCCGCCGAACCAUCCGCGAAACUGCAGCUGCAGGUGCCGACGCUAGCAGAGUGGUACGAUGGUAGCAACAGCAACAGCGGCAAGGGGAAGACCAACGCUGGUCAGCCGCCGCGCAAGCGCGGCACAGAGGCACCAGCGAUUCCUAGCAUCUUCUACUACCGAGCUCCGUCACGUCGCAACGCUCGGUGGAAUCAACCGCAGCAACAGCAGCCGCAGGUGUCGCACGCGACGUUGAACGCGUCCGGUGCCGGCGGCGGCAGCGGUCCGACGAGCAUCGCGUCUCGAUGGCGGCAAGAGUGGACGGCGGCCAUGCGCACGUAUCCUCCCUCGGGGGUCCCCUUCACCGCGUUGCCGGAGGGGUGGACGAGCCAACCCAGCCGCGAACACGGGCACUACUGCUUCACGCCCCCUGCGCCAGCGUCGUCGACGGACGGCGCAGCCGCCCCUGUCACCGCACCAACCUACAAGCAUCCCAUGGACGGCAAGGAGUACCCGGUCACCCCGCAAGCCCUCCUGCUGCAGGGGGCGGCCGCGGGUGGGAGUACCUCCAGUGUCACACUCGAUCAGGUGCGCACCCGCGCCAACGCCAUGCAUGCGGAAGAGGCCGCGGCCAUCGGGCUGCCACCACCGGCGGAGCUCACUGCCGCGGCCGCGGAGGCAUGGGCAUCGGAUCAGCGCCGCCGCAAUGUGUUCCUCGACAUCGCCACGAUGGAGCUCCUGGGCAUCAAGUACCGGCCAUCGGGUCGCGCCCACACCGUCGCCGCGGACGCCGCCUCGACAAGUGGCGUGAAGCGCGGUCGCGACGCCAGUGCGACGGCACCGACGCCGGAGCAGCUGCAACAGCUGCUCGCCAAGGCAAUUGCUAGGUCGUACCCCGCUGUAGGGGCGCCGUACCCGGUGGUCAGUCGCGGCUGGGCCGUUUACCUCAACUCCGCCCGCGGUCAGUAUGGUUUCAAGGGCCCAAACAGCGGCCCGAGUCAGCCGCCGCUCUUUGUGCACCCCAAGACGCGGAAGCACUACUUUGUAUCGCCUCAGGCGUUUGCACAGCAGCGAAAGGUGAACCUCGACGUGGUGGCGCGUGAUGCCGGAGUGGAGAAGAAGGACGUCGAGUCGUGGAUGGCCGAUCAGCGCAUCCGGCACGCUGCGAUCGAUGCCGCGGUGGUGAAGCUGAUACCGAUCACAUACAGCGACGUCGACAAGGCGAUGGAGGAGAACGCGGCGGUCGAAGUGGCCGGGGAUAGCGCAGCAGCGCCGCCGGUGUCAUCCUCGCGUGACCGGGACCACCAGAACCAGCACACGUCGUCAUCACGGCACCGCUCCGAGCGCGAGGGCCACGGCAGCAACAGCGGUCGAAAACGCCGACGCUACGAGGGCGGCGGUAGCGACGCCUCGCACAGCGAUGAUGACAAGCGCGAGAACGGCGACGGAUCCCGCGGCCGUCGCCGCCGCCGUGACCGAUCACCACGUCGGCGCGGCGGGAACGGCGGCGGCGGUGGUGGUGGUAAUCGUUGCCGUCGGUAGGACUCCGCUGGAUUGUUUGCCGACACCCCAUCUGCUGUGCAGCAGCCACGUGCACUGGUGCGCAGGCGCUGUUUGCGGCGAGGGGCAUGAACAUUGGAGAGAGCGAGCGCGCGCGCGCGACGUACGAAGUCGUGUGCGUGUGUGUGCUGGGAAGAGAGGCUUGGUUGACCGUUUUCGUCUUUGUGUGGCCGUUGAGCGCGUGGGCGGGUGUAGGGGCGGCCCGCUUCGGCGCAAAGAGAAGGUGCGCAGCAGCACCUCGUUGCCCCUCCCCCUCCGCCUCCUCCCUCUCCCUCCUUCACUCCUUCCCUCACACCCCCCCGUAGGUCGUGGAUGCGACAAGAGGCAGAGGGCAGGGCACCGUGCCCGCCGCUCGCCAUCCCACCCUCUCUUUUGUUGUUGUUUUGAUUACCCCACCACCACCACCACCACCGUCCACGCGAACAACGUGUGAAAGGCAUGGCCACGUGCCAUCGCAGGGGAUGGAGCUGGCACACGUGAGUGGUGGCCAUCACAAGGGGGCGUGUCGGGCGGCGUUUAAGUGAGAAGGGGGACUUAACAGGCACAAUGCGCACAACGCCCAAUACGCGAAAAAAAAAAAAAACAUGGAAGCGCCGCAGCAAACGUUGACGACAGAACAGCACGAGCACAGAGUACCACGCUGCGGUGUACGUGUCUCUCCCCGUCUCUCUCUCUCUCUUUGUGCCUCUGUGUGUUGUGAUGAUACCGCCAGCAACGAUCUGCGGAUGUGCUGGCAUGCCGGUGUGCGCAAGGGCGACAAAUCACGAGGAGGAUGGCCUCUAUCGUUUGCCCUUCACCUCUUACCACGAUUAGCGAGGCCAUG